CCACAAGUAGCCAGAGGGCGAGCUGCUAAGUCCUCUGAGAAAAUAACAAGAAAUGUUUGGAAGCAUAAGAAGCUUGUGAGUUCUGGAGGCUGGGAAAUCCAAGAUGGAGGCACCCGUGGAUUCAGAGUCUGAAUCUGAGACUCCCAGGGAUUAAAUGAUUUGAUGGAAGAUUACCUAACUAGUAAGGAAAGGAACAAAGAUAUAAACAGGUCUGAUCCCAAAUCCUGUGCCAAUGAUAACAUCAAAGACUCAUCUUCGGCUGAGCUGCCCAAGUAAUGUUAUGUCAAGAAAUCAAUUCAAUGGGUUGUGACAGCAGUUUUUAAAAAUAGAACAGAAAAGACAAGACCACACUCACAGAAUAAGGCUGGAACCUGUAACAGAAACAAGUAGGCAUGUGUAACACGCAAAGAAUUGAUACUGCCACAGAAUUAGGUUAACACUUACAAAAUGGGGCACAGGGGGGAAAAGAUCCUACUGAAGUCAGUCAUUUACCUCGGUCUGGCUUCAUUUUCACAUCCAAUUUCCACCCAAGAUGCUGCGAAAUACACUUGUAGGUUCUUUCAACAGGCUCGCCGCGGACUCUGUGGCUACAGCUCAGUUUUCAAAAUGCUGAAAAGAGACCGAAAUAAAAUUAAGCUAGCCUGGCUCUGACACCCAAACCUUGCAAGAAAACUACUGUGAACAGGCCUCUUCCUGGCGCUAACUGCGGUGACAGCAACCAACGGCAGCUCUGAAGAAAGCAAAACUCUGUGCCCCGCCUGCCCCAUCUCCUCCGGACCCAGCACCCCUCUUCCCCGCCCGUGUGCUCUCCAGGCCAAAGUGUCCUUCCUUGACACAGCGUCUCUGAACCAAAAGAAAGAUCUAUUUAUAACCUGGAGGUACAGGCAAGAAAAAAAAAAUGGUCAAGCAACACAAGCUAACUAACCCC
Molecule: long non-coding RNA, 928 nt
Organism: Suricata suricatta (meerkat)
Lineage: Eukaryota; Metazoa; Chordata; Mammalia; Carnivora; Herpestidae
Exons: 5
Source: RefSeq, a predicted model, not a curated record